GAGGGGCAUCGGGGCGUAGCAAUACGCUGCCGGCGACCGGCGGAAGGGUGCGUAACACGUGAGCAACAUUCCCGGAUCAGGGACAUAACCCGGAGAAAUCCGGACUAAUUUCCCAUGGUUCCUUCAGGGGGCAUCCCCGGGAGGGUAAAGAUACGUCGGAUCCGGAUUGGCUCGCGGGACAUUAGCUGGACGGCGGGGUAACGGCCCACCGUGGCGACGAUGUCUAGGGGCUCUGAGAGGAGUGACCCCCACAUUGGAACUGAGACACGGUCCAAACUCCUACGGGAGGCAGCAGUGAGGAAUAUUGGACAAUGGAUGGAAGUCUGAUCCAGCCAUGCCGCGUGAAGGAUUGAUGCCCUACGGGCUUUGAACUUCUUUUGUACGGGGGCAAUAAGGGCCACGCGUGGUCCGAUGAGAGUACCGUACGAAUAAGCAUCGGCUAACUCCGUGCCAGCAGCCGCGGUAAUACGGAGGAUGCGAGCGUUAUCCGGAUUUAUUGGGUUUAAAGGGUGCGUAGGCGGCUUGCCAAGUCAGCGGUGAAAUCCGGGCGCCCAACGCCGGAACUGCCGUUGAAACUGGCGGGCUUGAAUGGUGCCGCCGCAUGCGGAAUGUGUGAAGUAGCGGUGAAAUGCAUAGAUAUCACACAGAACGCCGAUUGUGGAAACAGCAUGCGAGACACUGAUUGACGCUGAGGCACGAAGGUGCGGGGAUCGAACAGGAUUAGAUACCCUGGGUAGUCCGCACAGUAAACGAUGAUGACUCGCCGCCGGCGAUAUACGGUCGGUGGUCAAGCGAAAGCGAUAAGUCAUCCACCUGGGGAGUACGGCCGCAAGGCUGAAACUCAAAGGAAUUGACGGGGGCCCGCACAAGCGGAGGACAUGUGGUUUAAUUCGAUGAUACGCGAGGAACCUUACCCGGGCUCGAACGGUGGCGGAACGACGCAGAGAUGCGGAGGUCAGCGAUGACCGUCACCGAGGUGCUGCAUGGUUGUCGUCAGCUCGUGCCGUGAGGUGUCGGCUUAAGUGCCAUAACGAGCGCAACCCUUACCGCCAGUUACCAGCGCGCGAUGGCGGGGACUCUGGCGGGACUGCCGCCGUAAGGUGUGAGGAGGGGGGGGAUGACGUCAAAUCAGCACGGCCCUUACGUCCGGGGCGACACACGUGUUACAAUGGCAGGCACAGCGCGCUGCCCGGGGGCGACCCCGGGCGAAUCGCGAAAGCCUGUCCCAGUUCGGACUGGAGUCUGCAACCCGACUCCACGAAGUUGGAUUCGCUAGUAAUCGCGCAUCAGCCAUGGCGCGGUGAAUACGUUCCCGGGCC
Molecule: ribosomal RNA, 1319 nt
Filed under: uncultured bacterium
Lineage: Bacteria
Description: bacterial SSU rRNA
Rfam family: Bacterial small subunit ribosomal RNA
Source: RNAcentral